Molecule: long non-coding RNA, 213 nt
Organism: Pistacia vera
Lineage: Eukaryota; Viridiplantae; Streptophyta; Magnoliopsida; Sapindales; Anacardiaceae
Exons: 3
Source: RefSeq, a predicted model, not a curated record
UAGUCGCUUGAAAGUUCGUUAUAGAGAUAGAAUAACAAUCCUAAGGGAAAUCAUGGAGAUCGUCAGAUAACUCAAGUGUAUGGAUUUUAUGAUGAAUGCUUGAGAAAAUAUGGAAAUGCUAAUGUCUGGAAGCAUUUCACCGACCUUUUUGAUUAUUUGCCACUUACAGCUCUAAUUGAGAGUCAGGUUUUCUGCUUGCAUGUGGCCUUGUAC